UUGGUUAAGUUAGAAAGGGCGCACGGUGGAUGCCUUGGCACUAGGAGCCGAAGAAGGACGGGACUAACACCGAUAUGCUUUGGGGAGCUGUACGUAAGCGUCGAUCCAGAGAUUUCCGAAUGGGGGAACCCACUAUCUUUAGUCGGAUAGUAUCCUUACGUGAAUACAUAGCGUGAGGAAGGCAGACCCAGGGAACUGAAACAUCUAAGUACCUGGAGGAAGAGAAAGAAAAAUCGAUUUCCUGAGUAGCGGCGAGCGAAACGGAAAGAGCCCAAACCAAGAAGCUUGCUUCUUGGGGUUGUAGGACACUCUAUACGGAGUUACAAAAGAAAGUUAUAAAUGAAGCGGUCUGGAAAGGCCCGCCAAAGACGGUAACAGCCCGGUAGUUGAAAUGGCUUUCCCUCCAGAGUGGAUCCUGAGUACGGCGGAACACGUGAAAUUCCGUCGGAAUCCGGGAGGACCAUCUCCCAAGGCUAAAUACUCCCUAGUGACCGAUAGUGAACCAGUACCGUGAGGGAAAGGUGAAAAGCACCCCGGAAGGGGAGUGAAACAGUUCCUGAAACCGUGUGCCUACAAGUAGUUAGAGCCCGUUAAUGGGUGAUAGCGUGCCUUUUGUAGAAUGAACCGGCGAGUUACGAUUUGUUGCAAGGUUAAGCGGAAAAAGCGGAGCCGUAGCGAAAGCGAGUCUGAAUAGGGCGCAUAAGUAACAGGUCGUAGACCCGAAACCAGGUGAUCUACCCAUGUCCAGGAUGAAGGUAAGGUAAUACUUACUGGAGGUCCGAACCCACGCACGUUGAAAAGUGCGGGGAUGAGGUGUGGGUAGCGGAGAAAUUCCAAUCGAACUUGGAGAUAGCUGGUUCUCUCCGAAAUAGCUUUAGGGCUAGCCUCGAGGUAAAGAGUCAUGGAGGUAGAGCACUGUUUGGACUAGGGGCCCUUCUCGGGUUACCGAAUUCAGAUAAACUCCGAAUGCCAUGUACUUAUACUCGGGAGUCAGACUGCGAGUGAUAAGAUCCGUAGUCGAAAGGGAAACAGCCCAGACCACCAGUUAAGGUCCCCAAAUAUAUGUUAAGUGGAAAAGGAUGUGGGGUUGCUUAGACAACCAGGAUGUUGGCUUAGAAGCAGCCACCAUUGAAAGAGUGCGUAAUAGCUCACUGGUCGAGUGACCCCGCGCCGAAAAUGUACCGGGGCUAAACAUAUUACCGAAACUGUGGAUGAACCUCUUUAGAGGUUCGUGGUAGGAGAGCGUUCUAAGGGCGGUGAAGUCAGACCGGAAGGACUGGUGGAGCGCUUAGAAGUGAGAAUGCCGGUAUGAGUAGCGAAAGAAGGGUGAGAAUCCCUUCCACCGAAUAUCUAAGGUUUCCUGAGGAAGGCUCGUCCGCUCAGGGUUAGUCGGGACCUAAGCCGAGGCCGAUAGGCGUAGGCGAUGGACAACAGGUAGAGAUUCCUGUACCAGUGCUAAUUGUUUAACCGAUGGGGUGACACAGAAGGAUAGGGAAUCGCACGAAUGGAAAUGUGCGUCCAAGCAGUGAGUGUGAGAAGUAGGCAAAUCCGCUUCUCGCGAAGCAUGAGCUGUGAUGGGGAAGGAAAUUAAGUACGGAAGUUCCUGAUUUCACGCUGUCAAGAAAAGCCUCUAGGAAGAGUAGUACUGCCCGUACCGCAAACCGACACAGGUAGAUGAGGAGAGAAUCCUAAGGUGAGCGAGAGAACUCUCGUUAAGGAACUCGGCAAAAU
Molecule: ribosomal RNA, 1731 nt
Filed under: Listeria monocytogenes serotype 1/2a
Lineage: Bacteria; Bacillati; Bacillota; Bacilli; Caryophanales; Listeriaceae
Description: partial 23S ribosomal RNA
Rfam family: Bacterial large subunit ribosomal RNA
Source: RNAcentral